Acinonyx jubatus (cheetah) is the source of this 5937-nucleotide long non-coding RNA. RefSeq lists it as uncharacterized. The transcript is spliced from 5 exons. Lineage: Eukaryota; Metazoa; Chordata; Mammalia; Carnivora; Felidae. The record is from RefSeq and is a predicted model, not a curated record.
ACGCGGGGCUGAGGGGCAUGACUCAGCACCCUGGCUCCACUCCUGGGAGGCUCUCUCCAUCCCCCAGGACUGCAGUUUCAAUGCUAUCCUCUGUGACUCAGCUGUCACCACCUCUUUGGGCAAGUUCCACUGCAGGUUUUGUGGGCCAGCGCUCUUGACCGAGAUGCAAAGGCCUUAUCAGCCAAGCAGAUGGCUGGACCAGCUGCCACUUCCCAGGGAGACCAGGAGUUUCCCCCUGGGUCACCAGGGAGGGGUUUCCUGCGAGGAUCCCACGUGCCAAGUCCUCGGGGAUGCAAGACAUUCUGAGGAUGUGACUUACACGGGGAAGCUCACCAGGACUUCUCCGAUUCGAUAUAAAUAACUCUGCACUGGCAGAUGGGGCGCGAGCCAAGUAGUAAUGAAUACUAGGACAAACAAACAGGCCUCUGGGAUGCUGGCCCAGCCGCUCCAAACCACAGUUGGCAAUAGGUUUGGAGGUGGCAGUGGGCGAAAAUCGUACCAGCAACACUGCAGUAAUCCUCGGGAGCGAACGCAGGGAAGCUCUCUCCAGAACGUGCCCUGCUUGAGAGACAGCAAGAGUCAUGAGACCGCUCCGGCCCGCCUUUGGCAAACAAGAGUCUAUAAUUAUGCAGACGUGCAUGGGAGCAGAAGGAAAUCCUGGAUUGCGUCUAGCAGUAUCGUAUGCUGCACAACGAAUCCUGUAUAGGAAGGACAGAAAAACACCUCGCCGAGACAUGUGGGUAAAGAUUUGAAAAGGAGGAAGGAGCAGCCCAUGAGAAUAUUGAAGGGGAAGACCACUGAAGGACAAAGAGAACAGCAAAUACCGUGGCUCAGAGGUGAGAAAGCUGAGACUGGACAGCGGAGUGUCUUGUCCCAAAUCACCUUGCUCUUUAGUGGUGAAGCUGGAAUUCAGUUUCGAGUUUCUGAAAGCUUAUAUUGGACUGCCUUCAUAUAAUAUCUUCCACAGCCAUCCUGACAGAUUUCCCUUGACCCAUCUAGUUCCUUUUCCUCACCCCAACCUUUGCCUCACAAGAAGACCAGCUCACGUUUAGGUAUAGAGACAAAUACCUAAUGGUCCAGACCCGUUUCAACGUUACCACAUGUUGUUUUUGGCCACUAGGUGGAAAUACGCCUAUUUUCUCUCCUCCAAAAGAUCUUGAGCUUUUUAACAAACACAUUUUCGAAUUCAUUUCCCCUCUUUGGGCCCCCCAAGCCCAAAUGCCUAUAGAGCCAUAGCCACAUUAAUAGUGAGUUAAAACACACAGAACGGAGCCAAUGGACUACCCUGUUCAUUACUUUAUUAAAAGUGGGGGAUAAAAGUCCCACAGUGAUCCCAGAUGGUGGUCGAAUCAACAAGCUACUUAUAUACGAUAGACACUCUCGGCUUGGAAACUACAUGAAUGUGUGCUUUUGAUCCAUAAAGAGCUACCUCAGUGGGCCAAUCAUAAUAAAAGUUAUGUAUCUAAAGUAGGUGAAGACGUGAUGAGCAACUUUAAAAUGGCCUUGGCAGCUUUUAUAAAAUCACAUCUAAUCGUUGUGGGCUAUGUUUCUGGAGUAGAUGGUGGAGGGAGCGUAGAGUCUCUGUGAGUGUGGGCUUGGCCUUACUGGACAAUGUGCCAGGCGCUGCGUAAAGUAUGGUGUGCACAGCGCUGAGCCGGACGUGAUCCCUGGCUCCCAUCACGCCUCGCCCUGGUAGUUACAACAGAGACAGAUGAGAUCUGCCUGGGAGUCAUGUAUGUGGAUGUGUGUGUGUGUGUGUGUGUGUGUGUGUGUGUGUAUGAGUGGAUGUCUGUGCUUGUGUGUAUACAGCUGAUCUUCAUCACUCAUAGAUUCAUAUUUGUGAACUCACCUACUCACUAAAAUUUACUUAUAACCCCCAAAUUGACACUUGUGCUUUUGUGGUCAGUUGCUGAGAUGUGCAGAGUGGUCAAAACUUUGAACCACUUGAUGUGACGCGUUCCCAGCUGAGGGUGAAUGAGGCAAUGCUGUAUCUCCUUGUUUUAGCCACCACGCUGCAAACAUGUGUCCUUUUCACCAUCUAUUUAGUGUCGUGUUUCUUGCAUUUUGUGCUUUUUGUUGAUUUCACCAUUUAAAAUGCCCCUACACACAAAGCUAAAGCGCUGCCUGGUGAGGCAGGAAGGCUGGGGUGUGCCUCCCGGGGAAAAUACUUGUGCCGGAAAAGCCUCCUUUGGGCCUGAGUUAUAAUGCUACUGUUGGGACUUCAAUGUAAUUAAUUAACAAUCUAUGUUAAAUAAGGUGUCUUUGAAAAGAAACACACACAGGGGCGCUUGGGUGGCUCAGUCGGUUAAACAUCCGACUCUUGGUUUUGGCUCAGGUCGUGAGCUUGCAGUUUGUGGGAUCGAGCCCUGCAUCAGGAUCUGUGCUGACAGCAUGGAGCCCGCUUGGGAUUCUCUCUCUGCUCCUCCCCCUGCUCGUGCUUGCUCUCUCUCCCUCAAAAUAAACUGACUUUAAAAAAAAAGAAAGAAACACACAUAAAGCCAAUUCAUGUACUGACCAGUUGAUGAAAGAAAUGUGAUCAAAACUGGAAGAAAACUAACCGUGUAUUGUCCCUUGGAGCAGUGGUUCCUAAUUCACCGAUUCAGUGCUCAUGGUGCCCUUAUGGAUCAUAACCACUGUGAAUAAGGGUUGGCCGUAUAUUUUAUACACACACUGAGAGUUAUAUUGAGUAUUAAGAGAAUUCCACAUGAUCCUGAUGAGGGGUGGUGUCUCUAAAAAUCAGUACAGCUGCCCAGCAAGCUUUCAGAUGCGUCCCAUGCACAGAGAUGGGAGGAGGAAUGUGGAUUCAGGUAAACUACACUACGUGAAAAGAAAAGUUAUUAGAUUAAAAGUUAUUAGAUUUAGAGAGGACUUCCGAUUUAUGGAUCAAAUAGUCUAACCUUUGCAUCUUUCAUUUAAGGCAGGAAGGUAGAGAGAAGAAAAGGGAAGGGAGGGAAACCCAGGAGUGUCCCACACAUGAACGAGGGGAUAGAAGGGAUGGGAAGGGCCAACGUCUGAUCCCAUGAGGGACUGAGAAGGAGCAAGACUAAUCAUGUCAUGAUAGCCUCCAGGGAUGACAAUCGCAGAUGUCAAAUUUUUCUUAUCAUUUUUCUGUUACUUUUAAUCCUCUCCCCUGACUUUUCCUGCCCUUGUCAGCACUAAAUUGCCUUGGAUGAUUUCAAAAAUAUUCCUGACCUUAUUUAGAGUUGGAGGGGAGCAGGAAAGAUGUCCAGAGGGGCCCUCCCUGUAAUGCCUGAGUGAGAGAAGGAAGCCUGGCACAGAGCAGAUGGGGCGGCUGGAAGAGCAGCCAGUCAAUACGGGGACCCGUUGAAAAUAGAAACAAGGGGUUGUCCCCAGCACAGAGAAAUUGUUCUAAGACAGUGCCUACAGGCAAAUGGUCCUUGGGUGACUUCCCUAUGGCCAUCCAUCCAAGAGGAACCUGGCCCUUUCAAGAACCAUGUCAGGAAGUUUCAGAGACUACAGCGAUUGGGGCUUGUGAAAAAUGCGUGGUCAACUCAGAGGGCUUUGUUGAUCUACCUGAGCCACGGAACCAGGAAGACGACUCACGGCCUGAGGGAGCGGGUAGUGUAAAUGCCUGGAAGGACUACAGCGCUACUCAGAACUAGUCAAUAACGCUUUUGUUUCCGUAUCACAGAAAAUGAUCUUGCUGCUGGGAAGUGGAAAAUAAAAAUAAGCGCAGAGAUGCGCAACCCAGAGAGGAAGGAGCCGACAGCCUCGCUGUCCUGAGAGCACGAGAGCAACAGCCAGCAGGCCUCCGAGCUCAGAAGAACAAGUUCCAGGGCACUGGGGGCCUUUGCAGGGGUGGACUGAAGAGCCAGAUCCACGAGAGAGAAGUGACAACUCUCAGUGACAAACCUGAUGUCAUGACUUAAGAGAAAGGAGGAAAGUGGAAUGUGAGAUGGAGACAGCUGAAUAUUACUUCCUGGCCUAAGAUUGCAAUCUGCCGUUACCGUUUUAGCCCUGAACGUGAACGCUAACAAUCGGGGGUGACAAACUCACCAUAUUUCCCCGUUUUAUAGGAUCACUAUUAUACUAGCCAAUCACGGGCAAUCCAGAGAGCUCACGUAUGUGGAUUCUGGCAAAGGCUCUCAUGGCUGCAGAGAGGCUGGCGAAGCGUGAAUUGGAAAUCAUCACAUCACAACGACCAUAGCCCGGAAGUUCACCUGACCAAGGGCACAGGCCGGCCGGUGGCAAAGCUCCCACCCAAUUUCAAAAAGCAGGAAAAGUGGUGGGAUGCUGGCUUUCUUUGAGCAAGAAGUUGCUAACUUACUACAUUGCUACUACGGCGUUUGAUACCGGGAAUACAAAGAUGUGUUCUUUCCUUGAGUGAGCUCGUGUCUCAAAAAAUGAAAGCCAGUCAUUCCACUAAGUUUUCACUCAAAAACUUCCAAAACGUGGAAAGAAGGUUCACCUGGUACAGCCUGACAGUAUGCAGCGGGAGCCCUGUCCUGCCCAGACACCAGCCAAGGCAACGCCCCGCAUGAACGGCCUGGACCUCAUCCCUCCUUCCUGCUGUGCCCGCAUUCAGCUGCACUGUGCCCAGACUCACCCUGCUGGUGGGUCUCCAAUGAGCCCUGCCUCUCCCCAGGGAGCCCUUCUUAGGAGGCCAUCAUCGGAGCUCCUCUUAGGAAGAACUGGUCGGCAGACUUUCGGUAGUCCAGAUGACAGAGGCUCACCCAGCCAAGGAUGAGUUAUUUAAGCAUUGGUUUCACUUAUCUUUUUUAAACAUGUUUUUUAAAGGUUAUUUAUUUUGAGAGAGAGAAAGCCUGUGCACACGCAGGGGAGAGGCAGAGAGAGAGAGAGAGAGAGAGAGAGAGAGAGAGAGAGAAAGAGAUUCCCAAGCAGGCUCCAGGCUGUCAGCACAGGGCCCGACGUGGGGCUCCAUCCCACGAACCAGGAGAUCAUGACCUGAGCUGAGAUCAAGAGUCAGACGCUUGACCGACUGAGUCACCCAGGCGCCCCUAAGCAUUGGUUUUGGACCUGCGAGGCCCCAAGCUUUAUGGAGGCACUGCAGAAACCCGCCAGUUCCAGGGGUCCUGGAGGAGAGCCCCAUGACUAGGGCUUCAAAUGUUCCCGAGUGACAGGAUCAUGUGAUUGAGAAAUCAGCUGUGUCUUAACAUCCCGCUGCAAGCUCGUGUGAAGGAGAUGAAGAUAUUUUCCCAUCCCCCUUCAAGGCAGGCCCGCAGCCUCGCCUCAGGGUCCUGGGGGGGCUGGGUUUCUGUAACCUUGCUAAAACUUUAAUUUUCAAAAGUCUGGGCCACAGAGCUCAAUUGUCCCCUGACGAAAGGGUCUGCAUUUGUCACAAAUGACCACGCACUUGAGGCUUCAAAUGACACACAUUUCCCCAAAGAAAACAAAACACUAAUUUGAAGAGAUACCUGCACCCCCAUGUUUAGUGCAGCAGUAUUUACAACAGCCAAGAUAUGGAAGCAGCCCAGUGUUUCCCAACAGACAGAUAGAUAAGGAAGAUGUGUGUGUAUACACACACACACACACACACACACACCCUCACACACAAUGGAAUCUUACUCAGCCAUCAAAAAAAAAUGAGAUCUUGCCAUUUGCGACCACAUGGAUGGACCUGGAAGAUUUUAUGGUAAGUGAAAUAAGUCAGACUGAGAAAGACAAAUACCGUAUGAUCUCAUUAUAUGUGGAACCCAAAAACACAAAAAACCCCAAUGAAUAAACAAACAAAAAGCAGAAUGAUACUUGUAAAUACAGGGAACAAGCUGAUGAUUAUCAGAGAAAAGGAGAGGGGGGCAUGAGUGGAGGGGAAAGUUACAGGCUUCCUUCCAGUUAUGGAAUGAAUAAGUCAUGGGAAUGAAAGGCACAGCAAUAAGGAAUAUAGUCAAUUCCUUGUCAAUUCCUGUGUCUCCCUCUCUCUCUGCCCCUCCCCCACUCACGCUCUGCCUCUCUCUC